UCGCAUUGACAUAUUUGAAAGGCCUUCUCAUUUUCUCACUAGGAGGAAAUAUUUGAAUUUUGCAUCUCAUAUGAUCUGAAGAGUGAUAUCACUCAAAUUACCCUAAGGAGUGAUUUUACUCUCUCAAAUAAGAGGUCGAGUUGUAGUACUUAGGGAUUGAAUCCACAGAGAGGUAGGGCACACAAUAGACUAUAGAAAUCAAGAUUAAUCUAGGCAAACAGUUUAUAUAGCAGUAAAUAAAUGAGAGCCAGGUGAACAAAGUAUUUGUUCGAUUGGUUGAUUGGGGUUGUAAACAAUUAGGAGAAAUAGCUAGACCUAUGGAUUUAUCAAUCAAGAGAUUCAAUACUACAAUCAAGGAUACUAAGGGCUUUAUAGAUUCAAUUCUAGAACUAGAUUUUAAUAAGUAGCAAUCCAGCUC
This 418-nucleotide long non-coding RNA is filed under the name Brassica napus (rape). RNAcentral's name for it is "long non-coding RNA (BNAP_LNC019075)". The record is from RNAcentral. Lineage: Eukaryota; Viridiplantae; Streptophyta; Magnoliopsida; Brassicales; Brassicaceae.